AUUGAACGCUGGCGGCAGGCUUAACGCAUGCAAGUCGAGCGGGGUGAUGGUGCUUGCACUAUCACUUAGCGGCGGACGGGUGAGUAAUGCUUAGGAAUCUGCCUAUUAGUGGGGGACAACAUCUCGAAAGGGAUGCUAAUACCGCAUACGUCCUACGGGAGAAAGCAGGGGAUCACUUGUGACCUUGCGCUAAUAGAUGAGCCUAAGUCGGAUUAGCUAGUUGGUGGGGUAAAGGCCUACCAAGGCGACGAUCUGUAGCGGGUCUGAGAGGAUGAUCCGCCACAUUGGGACUGAGACACGGCCCAGACUCCUACGGGAGGCAGCAGUGGGGAAUAUUGGACAAUGGGGGGAACCCUGGUCCAGCCAUGCCGCGUGUGUGAAGAAGGCCUUAUGGUUGUAAAGCACUUUAAGCGAGGAGGAGGCUCUUUUGGUUAAUACCCAAGAUGAGUGGACGUUACUCGCAGAAUAAGCACCGGCUAACUCUGUGCCAGCCGCCGCGGUAA
RNAcentral lists this ribosomal RNA (503 nucleotides) under uncultured bacterium. Its description in RNAcentral is "partial 16S ribosomal RNA". It matches the Rfam family "Bacterial small subunit ribosomal RNA", at positions 30 to 523 of the family's 1533-position model. The record is from RNAcentral.